This 100-nucleotide ribosomal RNA is filed under the name Chryseobacterium sp. Lineage: Bacteria; Pseudomonadati; Bacteroidota; Flavobacteriia; Flavobacteriales; Weeksellaceae. The record is from RNAcentral.
UUUUAGCGGAGGGGCUCACCUGUUCUCAUUCCGAACACAGAAGUUAAGCCCUCUAGCGCCGAUGGUACUGCGAAAGCGGGAGAGUAGGUCGCCGCCAGUU